This is a long non-coding RNA of Oncorhynchus nerka (sockeye salmon), 1651 nucleotides long. RefSeq lists it as uncharacterized. The record is from RefSeq and is a predicted model, not a curated record. NCBI's taxonomy places the organism in Eukaryota, Metazoa, Chordata, Actinopteri, Salmoniformes, Salmonidae. The transcript is spliced from 2 exons.
GGGAGGGAAUGCUUAUUUACAUUAGAUUGAUUCAUUCUGUCAGAGUAAAGAAAGAGCCACACAGAGUUAAUCUCCAGGAAACGGAACAGGCAAGCCACACCACAUGCAGUGGCUCUGUAAUGUGGGAAUCCAGAACCACAUGACGCUGUAAAAGCUGAAGCAAAAGGCCUGGAACAGAACUACAGAUGACAGUUUAACCAGGGGCAAUUGACCACCCCAGACUGAAUGAUGCCCUUCACAGCAGCUAGCAGUGGGAAGACGAGUGGCUGCGUGACGGCUGUGACUGUGGCUAUGGCUGCGCUGUCGGCCCUAGUUGAGACAAAGACAAAGGGAGAAUUUGGCAGGCUGCUGGGGCUGCGGCUGGAUCAAACAGACUCUGUUUAUUGGACGUCUCCUGCCCUUCUCCCCUCGCAUCUAGGAGCUGUGUAUCAGACUGCAGUCUGAAGUGUCUGAGAGCGCCACUCUCUCUCUCACACGCACACACACAUACUUCGAGCACAAACUCACACACACACACGGUGAGACUGGAACCAGAGAGACCACACAGGGUGUUCAACACCACCACAAAGGGGGACUGUCGCUCAGCUUAUAGGCACACAGUAAAUAUGUUCCCAUUCUCCCUUUGCCUGGCCCUCUCUCUCUCUCUCUCUUCUUCUAGUAUCUCUCUCAACUUCACUCUUAGCAUAGGGGUCUUAGCUUUCCUCUCUCUCUCGCUCUCACACCCACCCACACACUCUCCCCCUCUCUCUCUCCACAUCACUUACUCUUACUGCUGCAGUAAUGCCCUGCGGCCUCUGUUGCCCCUGUGUCUUUUUCCCAUGGUGCCGCUAUAGGAAUGUGUUCUUGUUAAAGGUGAUAUAUGCAUCGUCAGGCGGAGAGAACUUCAUUACAGUCGGAUACAGAUACAGGGAAAACAGAGUUAAGUAAGAAGUCCCAAAAGCAUUCAGUCAUUACUCAACGGCCUUCACUGUGGGCAAACACCCAGCACACAGAGGAGAGAUCUACUUCUCCUGUCUUAUCCGUGUCCUGUAUGAAUAUACGUAUGCUCUCUCUAAUUCUCUCUUUCUCUCUCUCGGAGGAGGACCUGAGCCCUAGGACCAUGCAUCAGGACUACCUGGCAUGAUGACUCCUUGCUGUCCCCAGUCCACCUGGCCGUGCUGCUGUUCCAGUUUCAACUGUUCUGCCUGCGGCUAUGGAACCCUGACCUGUUCACCGGACGUGCUACCUGUCCCAGACCUGCUGUUUUCAACUCUCUAGAGACAGCAGGAGCGGUAGAGAUACUCUUAAUGAUCGGCUAUGAAAAGCCAACUGACAUUUACUCCUGAGGUGCUGACUUGCUGCACCCUCAACAAUUACUGUGAUUAUUAUUAUUUGACCAUGCUGGUCAUUUAUGAACAUUUUAACUUCUUGGCCAUGUUCUGUUAUAAUCUCCAACCGGCACAGCCAGAAGAGGACUGGCCACCCCUCAUAGCCUGGUUCUUCUCUAGGUUUCUUCCUAGGUUUUGGCCUUUCUAGGGAGUUUUUCCUAGCCACCGUGCAUUUACACCUGCAUUGCUUGCUGUUUGGGGUUUUAGGCUGGGUUUCUGUACAGCACUUUGAGAUAUCAGCUGAUGUAAGAAGGGCUAUUUAAAUACAUUUGAUUUGAACAUGA